This 299-nucleotide long non-coding RNA is filed under the name Elaeis guineensis (African oil palm). RNAcentral describes it as "long non-coding RNA (EGUI_LNC043535)". Lineage: Eukaryota; Viridiplantae; Streptophyta; Magnoliopsida; Arecales; Arecaceae. The record is from RNAcentral.
CUAAUUUUUGUUGAUGGAGCCACCGAUGGUACUGCAGCAGCUCCGUCUUCUCCUGCCGCCCCAUCUUCAGCGGACGGCAUUUCAGAGAGCAUUGUCGGAGCCGACAAUGCUAAGACUGGUUCAGGAAUCCUCUCCAACAGGAUGUCAGAUUUCCUCGCCAGUGUAGUUACCCGACCCUUCUUCGACGGUUCGGAGGGUCCAGCUUCAGAUACUGUCUUCUUCUUGACAACAUGCUGACGAAUAUCAGCAGCGAACACUCGUACCCUUGGCUGCAUAGCUGCAAUCAGAACAAAGAAAUC